UUAAAAGUAAUGAAGGGGAGCAAGUAGCCUGAUCCCCGGGCUGCAGAGAGCUGGUGGGCGGUGUAAACCAGCGCCCGGCCGGGUGAAAGGAUCGCCCCGGAACUGCCGGCUGAAAGGUGUUCAAGCCGAUUAAGCCAAGGACGGAUUGGCCGCUGUUAGAAAGGCCGUGUCGUUUGUUAGGCGCAAAAGCAGGCUUUUAUUUUUUAAAAAUAAAGGCAAGCAGGGUGGUACCGCGCGAGGAUUAAACCUCCCGUCCCUGGC
RNAcentral lists this non-coding RNA (261 nucleotides) under Desulfotomaculum sp. Its description in RNAcentral is "T-box sequence". It matches the Rfam family "T-box leader". From Rfam's summary of the family: Uncharged tRNA acts as the effector for transcription antitermination of genes in the T-box leader family. T-boxes are found upstream of many aminoacyl-tRNA synthetase genes and some amino acid biosynthetic genes usually in Gram-positive bacteria. Lineage: Bacteria; Bacillati; Bacillota; Clostridia; Eubacteriales; Desulfotomaculaceae. The record is from RNAcentral.